AUUGAACGCUGGCGGCAGGCCUAACACAUGCAAGUCGAACGAGUGGCGGAAGGGUGAGUAAUGUCUGGGCAACUGCCUGAUGGAGGGGGUUCACUACUGGAAACGGUUGCUAAUACCGCAUACCAUCGGAUGUGCCCAGAUGGGUUUAGCUUGGGGGUGGGGUAACGGCUCACCUCGGUGACGAUCCCUAGCUGGUCUGAGAGGAUGACCAGCCAACCGGGAACUGAGACACGGUCCAGACUCCUACGGGAGGCAGCAGUGGGGAAUAUUGCACAAUGGGCGAAAGCCUGAUGCAGCCAUGCCGCGUGUGUGAAGAAGGCCUUCGGGUUGUAAAGUACUUUCAGCGGGGAGGCGUUACCCGCAGAAGAAGCACCGGCUAACUCCGUGCCAGCAGCCGCGGUAAUAC
This 406-nucleotide ribosomal RNA is filed under the name uncultured bacterium. RNAcentral's name for it is "partial 16S ribosomal RNA". It matches the Rfam family "Bacterial small subunit ribosomal RNA", at positions 30 to 526 of the family's 1533-position model. The record is from RNAcentral.